UAGUUUGAUCCUGGCUCAGAUUGAACGCUGGCGGCAUGCUUUACACAUGCAAGUCGAACGGUAACAGGUCUUCGGAUGCUGACGAGUGGCGAACGGGUGAGUAAUACAUCGGAACGUGCCUAGUAGUGGGGGAUAACUACUUGAAAGAGUAGCUAAUACCGCAUGAGAUCUACGGAUGAAAGCAGGGGACCUUCGGGCCUUGUGCUACUACCGCGGCUGCUGGCACAUUAGGUACCUGGUCGGAUUCAGGCUUACCCAGCCUGACCCCUGUAGCUGGUCCCCGAGCUCUUCCAGCCACACAAAAACAGAUUACAACCCCAGACCUUCAUCCUGCACGCCAGUGGGCUAUUUCAGGCAUCGCGCAAUCGCCUGAUAAUUCCAAUGCGACGUCGGGUGCCUAGGAGGAAGAGCCCUCGGGUUGUAAACUUCUUCUGUACGGACACGAAAACCUCUGGGGCUAAUAUCCACGGGUCAUGACGGUACCGUAAGAAUAAGCACCGGCUAAACUACGUGCCCAGCAGCCGCGGUAAAUACGUAGGGGUGCAAGCGUUAAUCGGAAUUACUGGGCGUAAAGCGUGCGCAGGCGGUUUUGUAAGACAGUGGUGAAAUCCCCGGGCUCAACCUGGGAACUGCCAUUGUGACUGCAAGGUUAGAGUGCGGCAGGGGGGGAUGGAAUUCCGCGUGUAGCAGUGGGAUUCGUAGAUAUGCGGAGGAACACCGAUGGCGAAGGCAAUCCCCUGGGCCCUGCACUGACGCCUCAUGCACGAAAACGUGGGGAAUCAAACAAGGAUUUAGAUACCCUGGUUAGUUCCACGCCCUAAACGGAUGUCAAACUGGUUUGUUGGGUUCUUAACUAACUCAGUAACGAAAGCUAACGCGUGAAGUUGACCGCCCUGGGGAGUACGGCCGCAAAGGUUGAAACUCAAAGGAAUUGACGGGGACCCGCACAAGCGGUGGAUGAUGUGGUUUAAUUUCGAUGCAACGCGAAAAAACCUUACCCACCUUUGACAUGGCAGGAACUUACCAGAGAUGGUUUGGUGCUCGAAAGAGAACCUGCACACAGGUGCUGCAUGGCUGUCGUCAGCUCGUGUCGUGAGAUGUUGGGUUAAGUCCCGCAACGAGCGCAACCCUUGCCAUUAGUUGCUACAUUCAGUUGAGCACUCUAAUGGGACUGCCGGUGACAAACCGGAGGAAGGUGGGGAUGACGUCAAGUCCUCAUGGCCCUUAUAGGUGGGGCUACACACGUCAUACAAUGGCUGGUACAAAGGGUUGCCAACCCGCGAGGGGGAGCUAAUCCCAUAAAGCCAGUCGUAGUCCGGAUCGCAGUCUGCAACUCGACUGCGUGAAGUCGGAAUCGCUAGUAAUCGUGGAUCAGAAUGUCACGGUGAAUACGUUCCCGGGUCUUGUACACACCGCCCGUCACACCAUGGGAGCGGGUCUCGCCAGAAGUAGGUAGCCUAACCGCAAGGAGGGCGCUACCA
Molecule: ribosomal RNA, 1481 nt
Filed under: Comamonas sp. ASR11
Lineage: Bacteria; Pseudomonadati; Pseudomonadota; Betaproteobacteria; Burkholderiales; Comamonadaceae
Description: partial 16S ribosomal RNA
Rfam family: Bacterial small subunit ribosomal RNA
Source: RNAcentral